RNAcentral lists this unclassified non-coding RNA (329 nucleotides) under soil metagenome. RNAcentral's name for it is "partial contains 5.8S ribosomal RNA, internal transcribed spacer 2, and large subunit ribosomal RNA". The stretch from base 1 to 120 matches the Rfam family "5.8S ribosomal RNA", at positions 35 to 154 of the family's 154-position model. The record is from RNAcentral.
GAUGAAGAACGCAGCGAAAUGCGAUAAGUAAUGUGAAUUGCAGAAUUCAGUGAAUCAUCGAAUCUUUGAACGCACAUUGCGCCCCUUGGUAUUCCGAGGGGCAUGCCUGUUCGAGCGUCAUUAUAACCCCUCAAGCUCAGCUUGGUGUUGGGGCCUGCUGCACUGGCAGCCCUUAAAAUCAGUGGCGGCGCCAUCUGGCUCUAAGCGUAGUAAUUCUUCUCGCUAUGGAGUCCUGGUGGAUGCUUGCCAACAACCCCCAAUUUUUCUAUGGUUGACCUCGGAUCAGGUAGGGAUACCCGCUGAACUUAAGCAUAUCAAUAAGCGGAGGA